RNAcentral lists this ribosomal RNA (1200 nucleotides) under Corynebacterium bovis. RNAcentral describes it as "bacterial SSU rRNA". It matches the Rfam family "Bacterial small subunit ribosomal RNA", at positions 148 to 1363 of the family's 1533-position model. The record is from RNAcentral. Lineage: Bacteria; Bacillati; Actinomycetota; Actinomycetes; Mycobacteriales; Corynebacteriaceae.
CCUGGGAAACUGGGUCUAAUACCGGAUAGGACCGUGCUUUAGUGUGUGCGGUGGAAAGUUUUUCGGUGCAGGAUGAGCCCGCGGCCUAUCAGCUUGUUGGUGGGGUAAUGGCCUACCAAGGCGGCGACGGGUAGCCGGCCUGAGAGGGUGUACGGCCACAUUGGGACUGAGACACGGCCCAGACUCCUACGGGAGGCAGCAGUGGGGAAUAUUGCACAAUGGGCGCAAGCCUGAUGCAGCGACGCCGCGUGGGGGAUGACGGCCUUCGGGUUGUAAACCCCUUUCGGCAGGGACGAAGCUUUUGUGACGGUACCUGCAUAAGAAGCACCGGCUAACUACGUGCCAGCAGCCGCGGUAAUACGUAGGGUGCGAGCGUUGUCCGGAAUUACUGGGCGUAAAGAGCUCGUAGGUGGUUUGUCGCGUCGUCUGUGAAAUCCCGGGGCUUAACUCCGGGCGUGCAGGCGAUACGGGCAUAACUUGAGUGCUGUAGGGGAGACUGGAAUUCCUGGUGUAGCGGUGAAAUGCGCAGAUAUCAGGAGGAACACCGAUGGCGAAGGCAGGUCUCUGGGCAGUAACUGACGCUGAGGAGCGAAAGCAUGGGUAGCGAACAGGAUUAGAUACCCUGGUAGUCCAUGCCGUAAACGGUGGGCGCUAGGUGUGGGGAUCUUCCACGAUUUCCGUGCCGUAGCUAACGCAUUAAGCGCCCCGCCUGGGGAGUACGGCCGCAAGGCUAAAACUCAAAGGAAUUGACGGGGGCCCGCACAAGCGGCGGAGCAUGUGGAUUAAUUCGAUGCAACGCGAAGAACCUUACCUGGGCUUGACAUGGGCAGGACCGGCGUGGAGACACGUCUUCCCUUUUGGGCUUGUUCACAGGUGGUGCAUGGUUGUCGUCAGCUCGUGUCGUGAGAUGUUGGGUUAAGUCCCGCAACGAGCGCAACCCUUGUCUUGUGUUGCCAGCACGUAAUGGUGGGGACUCGCGAGAGACUGCCGGGGUUAACUCGGAGGAAGGUGGGGAUGACGUCAAAUCAUCAUGCCCCUUAUGUCCAGGGCUUCACACAUGCUACAAUGGUCGGUACAGUGGGUUGCGAUGCCGCGAGGCUCAGCUAAUCCCUUAAAGCCGGUCUCAGUUCGGAUUGGAGUCUGCAACUCGACUCCAUGAAGUCGGAGUCGCUAGUAAUCGCAGAUCAGCAACGCUGCGGU